ACGUGGGGUGCGAGCGUUAAUCGGAAUUAUUGGGCGUAAAGGGCGCGUAGGCGGCGCGGUAUGUCACCUGUGAAAACUCCUGGCUCAACUGGGAGCUUGCAGGCGAAACUGCCGUGCUGGAGUGUGGGAGAGGUGCGUGGAAUUCCCGGUGUAGCGGUGAAAUGCGUAGAUAUCGAGAGGAACACCUGCGGCGAAGGCGGGUAGCUGGGCCGACACUGACGCUGAGGCGCGAAAGCCAGGGGAGCGAACGGGA
Molecule: ribosomal RNA, 253 nt
Filed under: uncultured prokaryote
Description: partial 16S ribosomal RNA
Rfam family: Bacterial small subunit ribosomal RNA
Source: RNAcentral